This 1203-nucleotide long non-coding RNA is filed under the name Carassius auratus (goldfish). RNAcentral's name for it is "lncRNA (ENSCARG00000042868.1)". Lineage: Eukaryota; Metazoa; Chordata; Actinopteri; Cypriniformes; Cyprinidae. The record is from RNAcentral.
GUUUGAUGAUAAUGUGCUCCCUUUAUGUGGUAAAAGCCUAACAAAUCUUUUACAUUUACGAGAAAUGUCAUACAGCAAUAAUUAUAGGAAAAACGCCUGAUAUGUUGCACUGUCUUCAAAUCAAAACAGUCAUGAUCUUGGCAUGAACAAAAGCAUGGUUCUCAAGAAUCAGGUUAACUUUGCACAAGUGUUGGGAUCAACGCAGCACCACACCACUUCUCAACGUUCCACAGUGGUCAGGACUCUGGGUCAGCUUGCAGCCCCCACUGACACACAGGGCACGAAAACCACUCUUUUCCUCAGAGCAGACAAGACAGUAGAGAGCUUACUGGAAAAUGGGGGUGAAGGGGCAUCAAGCUUCAGCCGUCAGUCUGGUUUCAGGCCGGGUGAGGGAGGAGGGCAGUUCCCAGGCCCCCGUGUGUACGUUGGGGGGCAAUAACUCACAAGCUUCCUUGGAACUUCCUCUUUCGUCCCUGUUUUUUACAACCACUGUAGACUGGAGUACAGCUGCUCAGGCUCUGCGGUGCGAAUCGAGGGAGCGUGAGAGAGGAGAAACAGGAGGAGAGACAGGACAGCAGGAGAGCUGAUGGAGAAAGGUGAAAUCACAGUGUCAAUUUGAACAGCGAGCCGGAGAAAGAGGAAGCCUGAUAUUGAGGUUCAUGUCAUACUGUGAUAAAUACUGCAACCAGAACGACAACAUAGCUACAAAACAAGCCAUCGUGUGUGAGAACGACACUCUGGUUAAAGUAUCACUAUAACAAAUGAGAAUGACUUGAAACAUAGUUCUCAUGCAAAUAAAAAAAACAUUAGAUACAAUCUAUCAACAUUGUCAAUAAUCAGUUCAGUAAAAUAAAUUGGGCCACACAAUACUUUUCCAGCAAACACUAAUAAUCUUAACUGAAUUUUAAAAGAAAUCCAAACAGCAUUUUCAGAAAAAAACAUUGAUCACUGUCAUGCUGGCGAAAGUUGCAAGAGACUUGGACUCUCUUUUAAAGCAAAUCAUUUUUGUCCAUUUUAUCACCUGCCAGGCAAUGAUUUUUAGAAAAAGUAAUUGCACCAUAUAAGGGCAAGUUAAGUUAAAUUUAAUACAAUAAAUGUAGAAAAUAUAAUAAAACUUAAAACGGUUAUAUUUUACAACAUUCAUUAAACUUUGUUCAUUUAAUUCAAAAACGUUUGAUCUUAGUUUUUUUUUAUGCGAGAUAA